GGCUUUAUGAAUAUUAUUUAAGGUCUGGCCUGCCCACUGAGAAUUUUAACGGCCGCGGUAUUUUGACCGUGCUAAGGUAGCAUAAUCAUUAGUUUUUUAAUUGAAAGCUGGAAUGAAGGGUUGAAUGAGAAAAAUUCUGUCUCUUAAUUAUUUUGUGAGAAAUUUAUUUUUAAGUAAAAAAGCUUAAAUUAUUUUGAAAGACGAGAAGACCCUAUAGAGUUUAAUAUAGAUAUUAAAUUUUUAGUUUAUAAUUUUUUUAAAAAUUUAUAAUUUAUAUUUAGUUGGGGUGACUAAAAAAUUAAAUUAACUUUUUUUAAUAAAUUACAUAUAUAAAUGAAAUAUUGAUCCAUAUUUAGUGAUUAAAAGAAAAAAUUACCUUAGGGAUAACAGCGUUAUUUUUUUUAAGAGUUCAAAUCGAAAAAAAAGAUUGCGACCUCGAUGUUGGAUUAAAAUUAAUUUUUGGUGUAGAAGCUAAGAAUUUUAGGUCUGUUCGACCUUUAAAAUUUUACAUGA
RNAcentral lists this ribosomal RNA (513 nucleotides) under Saperda carcharias. RNAcentral describes it as "partial large subunit ribosomal RNA". It matches the Rfam family "Bacterial large subunit ribosomal RNA", at positions 1819 to 2603 of the family's 2925-position model. Lineage: Eukaryota; Metazoa; Arthropoda; Insecta; Coleoptera; Cerambycidae. The record is from RNAcentral.